GACGAACGCUGGCGGCGUGCUUAACACAUGCAAGUCGAACGGUGAAGCUCCAGCUUGCUGGAGUGGAUCAGUGGCGAACGGGUGAGUAACACGUGAGCAACCUGCCCCUGACUCUGGAAUAAGCGCUGGAAACGGCGUCUAAUACUGGAUACGAGAAGGGUCCGCAUGGGCACUUUCUGGAAAGUUUGUCGGUUGGGGAUGGGCUCGCGGCCUAUCAGCUUGUUGGUGAGGUAAUGGCUCACCAAGGCGACGACGGGUAGCCGGCCUGAGAGGGCGACCGGCCACACUGGGACUGAGACACGGCCCAGACUCCUACGGGAGGCAGCAGUGGGGAAUAUUGCACAAUGGGCGAAAGCCUGAUGCAGCGACGCCGCGUGAGGGAUGACGGCCUUCGGGGUGUAAACCUCUUUCAGCAGGGAAGAAGCGAAAGUGACGGUACCUGCAGAAGAAGCACCGGCUAACUACGUG
Molecule: ribosomal RNA, 468 nt
Filed under: uncultured bacterium
Lineage: Bacteria
Description: partial 16S ribosomal RNA
Rfam family: Bacterial small subunit ribosomal RNA
Source: RNAcentral